GACGAACGCUGGCGGCGUGCUUAACACAUGCAAGUCGAACGGUGAAGCACCUUCCUUUUGGUGGGUGUGGAUGAGUGGCGCACGGGUGAGUAACACGUGAGUAACCUGCCCCCUUCUUCUGGAUAACCGCAUGAAAGUGUGGCUAAUACGGGAUAUUCUGGGUCUGUCGCAUGGCGGGCCUGGGCAAGAUAUUGUUUCUGUGGGGGAUGGGCUCGCGGUCUAUCAGGUUGUUGGUGGGGUGAUGGCCUACCAAGGCGGUGAGGGGUAGCCGGCCGGAGAGGGUGGACGGCCAUAGUGCGACUGAGAGACGGCGCAGACUACGGCAGGAGGCAGUGGGGAGGAUUAUUGAACAAUGGGAGGACUCCUGCUGCCGCGCCGCGGCGUGAGGGAUGGAGGCCGGCGGGUUGUAACCCUUUUUCGCGAGUGAAGCAGGCCUGUCUCUUUUGUCGGUGGGUUGACGGUAGCUGGAGAAGAAGCGCCGGCUAACUACGUG
Molecule: ribosomal RNA, 493 nt
Filed under: uncultured bacterium
Lineage: Bacteria
Description: partial 16S ribosomal RNA
Rfam family: Bacterial small subunit ribosomal RNA
Source: RNAcentral